This 10739-nucleotide long non-coding RNA is filed under the name Arachis ipaensis. RNAcentral's name for it is "long non-coding RNA (AIPA_LNC000283)". Lineage: Eukaryota; Viridiplantae; Streptophyta; Magnoliopsida; Fabales; Fabaceae. The record is from RNAcentral.
CGGUUUGUAUCUUGGUUCUCGCAUACUAUUGAAAAUCCUUUCUUACCUUUUUCCUUUAUGAUUAACUUUAUGCUACUUAUUUCUCAUUUUAAAUAGUUUCACAUUUCAUUCUCUUCUUGAAAUGUGUUUGAUAUAGACCUUACUUUAUAUGCUUAAUUUUACUUGUGGAUUGUGAUAAGUUAGUUAUCUGAAGUAACAUAUUACAACAUUUCAUAAUGCAGGAUUGAAUUCUAUGCAGAGUUCCUCUGUGAUUGACUUGAAAACAUUUGACACUCCUGUGGAACCAAUAAAUGUUAAACCCCCUAUUAAACCCCCACCUCUCAAAUCAUUCGACGAGGAAGAAAUUCCAAAGAAGCCAACUGCUGUCAAGAAGACUGUCGCCGCUCCCGCAAAUGUGAAAGCAUAUUCUAUAGCUGACCUGCAGAUUGCUACUUCAAGCUUCAGUGUGGAUCAACUCCUUGGUGAGGGGUCUUUCGGACGUGUAUACCGUGCACAAUUCGAUGAUGGAAAGGUACUCCUUACCGCAUUUUUACUUUACAAGUCCAAUUCUAUGUCUUAUUCUGCGGGCAAAGAUAUGGAAAAUCCAAAAAUAAUGCCAUGCUCUUAGGAAAUGUCUUAAAAGUGACUCACCUGAGUCUUUCUCAAUAUAUAUAAGCAUGCUAAUACACUUGAUGAUAUAUGUCAAAAACUGUUAACAUAUCUUCUGAAUCCAUGCAGAGGCUUAUUGAUGGUUUUGACUUUGUCAUGAAUUGUUGUAGGUUCUUGCAGUAAAGAAGAUAGAUUCAUCUAUCAUUCCCCAUGAUUCAUCCAACGAUUUUGUGGAAGUAGUCUCAAACAUCUCCCAUUUGCAUCAUCAAAAUGUGACAGAGCUUGUUGGUUAUUGUUCGGAGCAUGGACAACACCUCUUGGUCUACGAGUUCCAUAAAAACGGGUCGCUGCAUGACUUCCUUCACCUACCUGAUGAGUACAGCAAACCAUUGAUAUGGAACUCUCGUGUCAAGAUCGCUCUAGGGACAGCUCGCGCCUUAGAGUGAGUUAGUUGUUUGCAAGUGUAAAUAGAAUAAUGACCUCUUAUUUCUUUCCCCAAAAGUCAAUAACCAACCUCUUCUUUCUCUUUCUUUAAGGUACCUACAUGAAGUUUGUUCGCCUUCGGUUGUUCAUAAGGAUAUUAAGUCAACCAACAUAUUGCUUGAUUCAGAUCUUAACCCUCAUCUUUCAGAUUGUGGAUUGGCAAGCUAUAUUCCAAAUGCAGACCAGGUGAUUUUAAUUUUUGGAACAAAUAUGCUGUGAAUUUCAGUUUCAAAUGGAUGCACUCUUAAUGAAUGCAUUUUUUCCUUUUAUCUUGUGUCACACGGCUUACAUAUGAAAAUUAUUAGUUCUAAAUAUCGUCUCAUGUUCAGGUAUUGAACAAUAAUGCUGGAUCGGGAUACGAAGCACCGGAAGUUGGUAUGUCCGGUCAGUAUACGCUUAAGAGUGAUGUCUACAGCUUUGGAGUUGUCAUGUUGGAACUUCUUAGUGGAAGGAAACCGUUUGACAGGUAAUUGAUGCAUCUUUUAGGUGGUUACUCGUGAAAAUGUCUUCAUGGGAAGAUGAUAGCUGAGAUGUAAACACGUGUUAUGUCAAGUAGUUUAGUAAAAAAUGUCAAACUAUCUAACAGUUUUCAACUAUUAUUUUCACAUGAAGACAUCUUCAUGUGACUAGUUUUAACAUUCGCAUGCUCUCCAAAAUCAACAGCGCAUUUAGUAACAUAUAUAGUUUAAUCUAUAAUAUAAAACCCUUCAAAGUAGUUAGGGUAGGUAGAUGCACCAAUUUCUUUUGAUAUUAUUUGUAUUUUGUUGUUUAAAAAACUCCCUCGGCAGCUCAAGGCCAAGAUACGAGCAGUCUUUGGUACGGUGGGCGACACCACAACUCCAUGAUAUCGAUGCAUUGGCUAAAAUGGUUGAUCCUGCGCUGGAAGGGCUAUACCCGGUUAAGUCGCUGUCCCGUUUUGCCGAUGUUAUUGCACUUUGUGUUCAGGUAAUGUCACACAUAUAUGUCUCCUUUUUGUUGUCUUAACGACCAAAUAAACUACAUAUAUUCAUGUGCGUCUAUGUGUAUGUGUGUCUUUGUGUCUGUGCCUUGUUGUUUUGAGAGAGUAAACAAACACAGCCUAAGUUACUGGUUUGGCUACGACGCACUUUAAAAAGAGGUGGGUACUCCAAUGAAGACUAUAAUUGUCUUUAUAUGAAGAUGCUUCCUUUUGACAAUCGGGUGAUGGAUUGUAGGGUUUUGAUUUUAGCAUGUUAUAAGAGCGUUGCCUUUAUCUAAAAGCGUUGAUAUUUCCUUUAAAUCGUUACUUUUUCUUAUAAGUCACGCUUUUAAAGUGUAACUAAACAAAUAUCUUAGUGGAAGGAUGUUUUUGACAUAUUGGAGUAGAUGCCUUAAAAAGAAAAAACAGCCUAAAUGUUAGGGUGAUCCAAAUGCCAAAACUCAUGUCAAAGGGAGGAUUUAUAUGUGCUUUUAAUGUAUUUAUCAUGUCAGGAAAAGUAACUACAUGAUUGUUGUAAUAUAAUGUAAUGAUUGUUUUGGCAGCCGGAGCCGGAAUUCCGACCACCGAUGUCGGAAGUGGUUCAAGCAUUAGUUCGGUUAGUGCAGAGAGCAAACAUGAGCAAAAGGACAUUUGGGACUGAGCAAGGAGGAACACCAAGAGCGGGUGAUGAGCCUGAUACACCAGACAUGUAAAUUUUAUUGCAAAUAAUAAGAUCAUUGUGUUUAAUAAAAUGUCUUAAAAAUGGAAAGGAAAAACAAAAUAAUAUUAUUCUCUCUUUCUUUGAAUGUACCUUCUAGUAUUGUUUGAGGUUGAACAAUUUUUUUCAUGUAAUAUACAGCGGUAGUCCUUUCAAUUUGUUGGUAAUAUAAAUAAUUAUAUUAUUUUGCACAAUUCAAGCUUUGUUUUAUCUUUUAUUAUUUUCUUUUUUUAUUAUUAUUUUUUUUGUAAAUUUAUUUAUAAGACGAAGUAUAGGGAGUCAAUGGAGUAUCUGUACAAUAUGUACAAUGGGAAUUUAGAAAUGUUCGAUUCAGUAGGAUAGCAGAUGUUUAUUAUCCCUAGUACCCGGAUGGUUAUUCUGGAUAGUAUGGGUGUAUUGUGUUUGAGAAAUUAGUAGUAUUUUAUCUUGAAUGUUUAUUUUUUAACUCAUAUUGGACCAAAUAAAUAAAAUAAAUAGUUCAUUGUAUACAUUGUACAAAUACUCCAUUGGCUUUUUAACGGGAUUCUAUUUAUAAUAUACAACAAUUAAUAAGUCAUGAUAAGGUAAGAAGUUUACCGUGAUAACACACACUACCGAUACUAAUUCAAAUUACGCACGUUUUCAAUGUUUUUCCGCUCUCAUUCUGAAAUACUUUCUUCAGCUCUCAUUCCAAAACUGUUUCAUCUUCAUAUUCAAAUUUAAAAUCUAAAAUCGUUUAACAAUUAGAAAUUUCUCAAAUCAGAGUAUUACUUUUUUUUAUUCUCAUUUUAAAACGGUUUCGUCUUCAGAUUUCAAAAUCCAAAACUGUUUAGCAAUAAGAAACUUCUCAAAUUAGAACAUGAAAACUCGAACCUGACAAUAUUUUAAGCAAUAAUGUUCUACAUCCAUAUAAAAAAUAUAUUCAAUUUAUCCAAGUAAUAUUGGUCAGAUGCACUCCCUUCCCCCCUCACUUGUUUGUCAUACAUGUGCUACAUAUAAUGUGCUGCAACCUAAAGCUUUGCUCAAUGUAAACCUAGGGCUGCACAUAGAUCGGAAAAUAUCCGCAUAUCCGUGGUAAUUAUCCGCAUCCGAUCCGAAUUUUGCGGAUAUUAUCCGAUCCGUACUAUGGUAGGAUCGGAUAGCGGAUUUGGCAGUGAUACUUGCGGAUCCGAUUCGCAGAUCAGCAUAUUCGCACAUCGUAUAAAUAGCCCAGUUUCAAAUAAGCCCUAAUGUAAUGUGACCUAACUCUAAAUCCCUAAUGUUACGGCGCUCCUCUCUCGUUCUCUGUCUCUGGACUCUCCUCCCAGACUCUGGCUCUCCCUCUCCUCUCUGACCGGCUCUACUUUGCUCCGUCACCGGCGUUCGCUAUCCAUCAUCGGCGUUCACUGUCCAUCACCAUCUCCUAAGUUCGUCAUUUCCUCCAAGCUCCAAUUGCACGGUCGUCGCCUCCUCCAUCAACGCGGUGGACGGCGGUCGCGUUCUCCAUACGCGUUCUCCAUAGGUCGCGUUCUUCAUUGGUGCAGCACUCGCGGUCAGUGGUCUCCUCCAGUGGUGCGGUCACCUCCUCUAGCGGUGAGGUCAUCUCCUCUGGCGGCUUAGUCUUCUCUUCCAUCGGCGGUGGUUGUCUCUCCAAGCGGCUUCAUCAAUCUGUCAGACCAGGCCUUCUUCGACUCCAUCGUCUUUGCUCUUCAACUCAUCUGGUAUUAUAGGUAAUUUAAUUUUAAUUUUAUGAUUAAAUAUUAUUUGUAUACAAAUGCUUAUAGAUUAAAGUACUUGAAUCAUUGUGUUAUACUAUUAUUGUGUAAUAAACUCUGUAAAUUUGAAUGGUUUAUUCAAUUGUAAACAUAUAUGGCACUGAGGGUUUAUAUGGUUUACUUGUUUGGAAAUUAUAAUGGUUUAUUCAAUUGUAAACAAAUUUUUGAAUUAUGCAAAUAUACCCGAUAUCCGAUCUGAUCCGACCUAAAAAAAUCACGGAUACCAUAUAUGAUCCGAUCCCAUGGGAGUAGUGCGGAUCGGAUAGAAUUUUAGCCUAUAUCUGAUCCAAUCCGAUUCGUGUGUGAUAAACCCAAAUAUGUUGAAGGACGUAAAGCCAGAGCAACCAGCUCGGAUACGGAUAAACACCAACGAACGCCAACGAAUAAGGACAAAAGGAAACAGACAACACCCAACCCACCAAGAGGAAUCAUCAACCACAUAUCAGGAGGCUAUGCAGGUGGAGGUCGAACAAUCUCGGCCAGAAAAUGAAGCUACAGAGCAAUGUUAGUAAUCGAAGGAACACUGCAUUCGAAGAAAGAAGAGCACCCAGACGUCACGAUAUCAUUCAAUCAAUCAGACUGUAAGUCGGCAAGCCCUAACCUCGAUGACCCAGUAGUAAUCUCCAUCCAAGUUGGAUAACUGUUGGUAAGAAAAACACUACUGGAUCCAGGUAGUAGCGCUGAUGUUUUAUUUUAUUCUACUUUUAAAAAGAUGAAGUUAUCAGAAAAAAUAAUGCACCCUUCCUCUGGAGAGCUGAUUGGGUUCUCUGGAGAAAGGGUCCCCAUCAUGGGAUACAUAUGGCUGAAGACAACGAUGGGAGAGGUCCCUAUGUCAAAAUCCAUUGAUAUCCAAUAUUUAAUAGUAGACUGUUAUAGCCCUUAUAAUAUUAUCAUCGAAAGACCCGUCUUGAAUAUAUUCAGGGCAGUAGUGUCCACUUUACACCUGUGUGUCAAGUUUUUGGUGCAGGAAAACAGGAUAGCAACAGUAUACGCCGAUCACCAAGAAGCUCGGCAGUGCUACAAUGCCAGUCUAAAGCAAAACCAAACAAAACAGACAGCUCGGCAACAAGUCAAAGCAAUACACAAUACUGCCAAGAUCCUAACGUUAGCCAAGCUCGACCCAAGAGAGGAUCUCAGCGAAAGACCCUAGCCAAUGGACAACCUCCACCGAGUAACACUAACAGCGGAUGAAAAGCAGUACACACACAUCGGAGAAGCACUAGAGGGGGAAGAACGAACAAAACUCAUAGAAAUACUAUGUCAGAACGCUGAUCUAUUUGCAUGGACGCCAGACGACAUGCCUGGAAUAAGUCUAGAAGUCAUUUGCCACAAGUCAGCAAUUGACAAAGCAGUCCGACUAGUGACACAAAAGAAAAGAAACCUCGGAAAAGAGAAAAAACAAGCAGCACUAGAAGAAACCAAGAAACUCCUCAACGCAGGUUUCAUCAGAGAGAUCCGCUUCACCACAUGGCUCUCAAAUGUGGUAAUGGUAAGGAAAAACUCAGGUAAAUGGCGCAUGUGCGUCGACUUUACAAAUUUAAAUAAAGCUUGCCCUAAAGACGCUUACCCAUUACCUUGCAUUGAUAAAUUAGUUGAUAAUGCUUCCGGUUUCAAAAGCUUAAGUUUUAUGGAUGCAUACUCUGGUUACAACCAGAUUCUAAUGCACCCAGAGGACCAAAGCAAAACAGCUUUUAUAACAGAACAUGGAAAUUUUUGUUACAAGGUAAUGCCUUUCGGUUUAAAAAAUGCAGGGGCGACAUAUCAAAGACUAAUGGACAAAGUAUUUCGACAGCAAAUAGGUCGGAAUAUGGAAAUUUAUGUAGAUGAUAUGGUAGCAAAAACGUCUGCACAAGGUUCACAUUGUGACGACUUGUUAGAAGUCUUCAACCAAGUCCGAGCAUACAACAUGAGGCUCAAUCCAGUGGAGUCCAAGGAGGAAAAUUCCUCUGCUUCAUGCUGACUUCACGAGGAAUUGAAGCAAAUCCAGAGAAGUGUGAUGCAAUAUUGAACAUGGCAAGCCCGAAAAUGAAAAAGGAAGUCCAACAACUUGCAGGGAGGGUGGCUGCUUUGUCACAUUUCCUACCUGCAGUAGCCAACCGAUCAUAUCACUUUUUUCAAACAAUCUCUAAAAAUAAGAAAUUUGCAUGGACCGAGGAAUGUGAGAAAUCUUUUGUCGAGCUAAAACAGCUCUUAAUAUCACCCUCAGUACUCCAGAGGCCAGAAACAGGCAAACCAUUACAUUUAUACUUAUCAAUAUAUAACCAUGCUAUAAGUUUUGUUCUAGUUGUUGAAACAGGGAAAACACAAAGGCCAGUAUACUUUGUUAGCAGAGUACUACAGCCAAUGGAGACGAGAUACCCGAAGAUAGAACAGUUGGCACUAGCACUAGUUACCACAACAAGGAGACUAAGGCACUAUUUUCAGAGCUAUACAAUAGUGGUAUGAACUGACCAACCUUUGAGGCAAAUAUUAACCAGACCCGAGCUUGCUGGACGAUUAAUUAAGUGGUUUAUCGAGCUCUCUGAGUUCGAUAUUCAAUACCAAUCAAGAAAAAUAUUAAAGUCUCAAAUACUAGCCGAUUUCAUCUCAGAAAUGACUGUCGAGAUACAAUCUGUAGAGACAAGUUGGAAUCUACACGUAGAUGGAGCAUCAAACCGAGAAGGAAGUGGAGUAGGCUCAGUAAUUAAAAUUAGUUAUUAUGUAUUUAUAUAUUAAUAUAUAUUAUUUAAUUUAUUUUUAAUAUAUAUUUUAUAUUAGUGACUAAUUUAAAUGAUUAAUUAUUUUUCUCUUACUAAUUCAAAUUAUAAAAGUUGAUUUCAUAAAUCUAGUAAUUAAAUUCACACUUAACAAGUAAGAGUGAUAAACUAAAGUUAAGUGGUGGCUUUGGAUUCUUCUGGCGAUUCGUGCUUGCCAGCUUUGCUUUUACUCGGCAGCAACAACAAACAUAUAUAAGCAUCUCAUUCACAUGAACACCCCAUCUAAUAUUUAAUAAUAAAAAUCCAUUUUUGACAAAAAAGGGUUGAUUUCACAGCCAAAUUGGAUUCUGGGUUGGAAGAAUUUCACCAAAAAAGAACAACAAUUGGUUGAUUCAGAUGAUGGAGGAUCGAAGGCUGGUGCUGGUUCUGAUCAGCACCUGCAUUCUCUGUUUCUUGGUCAUUGGCAUUAAUGGUGACACAGAUCCAAAUGAUGGUUAGUGAUGCUGUUCAUUAAUAAUUCAAUCAUGUUCAUUUUUUCUUUUUUCCUUCAAACUUUAUUUUUUCAAUGUGUGUGUUUCUUUUGUACUUGGAUGUGUUAGUUGUAUACAGUGUUUUAGUGAAGAGUACUUCUUGCUAUAAUUGUCUUAUGUUCCAAUUUUCUGUUUUUGCUUUUUUAUUUUUUUAAUUAUUUGAAAUUUAUCUUUAUAGUUCUGCUGAUUUUCCAGUAGAUUAGUUAGAUUUGGAUUUUGGAACAAAGUUUGUAAUUUUUUUUAAAAUUAAUUUAUGAGUUUCUUUUCAUCUGAAUUAAUGUAAAUUCUAUUACCAUGAAUAAAUGUGGGUGUUUAAUUUUCUUCUUUUUUUUUUAGUUAAUGUUUUUACUUUUAUUUUUAAUUAUUGUGUUUAAGCCAUGUUCAAUCUGUUAUGAGUGGUAAUAGUAGGUAGUUGAUAUACAAUUCUUGCUCUCUUCAGUAGGAACAAGGUUGCUAACAAGUGAUCCAAAAUCAAGUACUUUCUGAUGUAAUAAUAGCAUGAUUGGCAUGUUUUUCUCAUGAUUUCCUCUUAUAUGAAUGGGAAUCUUCAUCUUCCAAUUUCAUUCCUUUACUUUUGACUUCAAUGUUUGUUUCUGUGUUAUCAAAACUUUGUUAUCCUGAAUGUUUGAUGCAGCUAAUGCUCUAAGGAGCUUGUAUCAGAAUAUGAACUCACCAUCUCAACUAAAUUGGCCUCAAAAUGGCAAUGAUCCUUGUGGACAGUCUUGGAAAGGCAUUAGUUGCAAGGACAAUCGCGUCACCGAGAUGUGAAGCCUUAAUCUCCUAAAUCCUAAUCACUUUAUACAUGUUUCGAUUAUUACUCUUUUCGGCUCCAAUGUCUGAUAUGUGUGUUGUUGUUUGGUUUUUUCCGAUCAUUUACUUCUUAUCAGCAAGUUACCUGGUCUUCAACUUAGUGGAACUUUGGGUUACCAGCUCGAAAGCUUGACAUCUGUGACUUACUUGUAAGUUAAGCCUCGUUCGGUAACUGUUUCAGGACAUAAAAUACAGAGACACGGAGAAAAUCUGUCUUGUACUGUGUCCUGUGACAAUAUGCAAAUGCAGCCUUAAUGAUCUUGUUCAUUGUAUAUCCAGUUUUGUAUGUAUUGUUACUGUCGUCUUAAAUCAAAAAUCUUUGUAGUGACUUGGGUAACAACAAUCUUGGUGGCAGCUGGUACUAACUCCCUCCAAAUUUGCAGCACCUGUAUGUCUUACACUUCUGUUUAUUUUUGUUUCUCGGACUUUCGGUAGUCGAAUUCUAACAUACUUAAUACUUCUUUGUAUGCAGAAAUCUCGCUAAUAAUAAUUUCAAUGGGCCGAUCCCAUAUUCGAUCUCUCAAAUUACUUCGCUUAAAUACCUGUGUGUAACUAUAUUCUUGAAUUCUUAUAUGUCUUUCAUUGUAUACCUAUAAACCUCCUUGCUAAGCCACUGUAGUAAUCUGCAAAAUUAACAUUGAUUCUGUAGGAAUCUUGGUCACAACCAGUUCCAACAAGGAUUGACUGUUGACUUUUCAAAGCUUACUUCCCUCUCUACACUGUAAGAUUCCCUCAAUUCCAUAUACCUUUCAGCAACAUUGAUGUUAUGACUUCUUUGUUUUUCGUUGUGGAUUCAUUAAAAUUUUGUACUUAAAAAUUUAAUAUUACUUCUGAUUCCAUGCUAAUUCAUAUUCUUUAUUUGUUUCUGCGAAAAGGCUUCAUAUACAUUGGCUAUUUUGUGAUAUUUACAUGCAUAUGAUUCUUGUAAUCUAAAACUUUUGAGUUACUGAUCCAUCAACUAUAAUAUCUGUAAACUGUUGUAGGGAUCUUUCGUCCAAUUCGCUGACAGGGGACCUCCCUCAGACAAUGAGCUCACUUUCGAGCUUGUCAACCUUGUAAGCAUCGAGUUUUGUAUUCUUUCUUUCUUUUUUCUUCAUGUUUGCAUGGUAUUGGUUGCAUUCUAAGUGGACUUAUUUGUCUUUGUUUAGGUAUCUGCAAAACAACCAGUUCACGGGCACCAUCGAUGUUCUUGCUAACCUGCCACUCGACACUUUGUGAGCCUCUUUUAUGUCAUUUGCUGCCAUGGAAAACUUCUUUCCUAUAUUUAUAUAAUAACCUUUCAAGUUCUAAUUAUUUUCUGAAUAUUUCUCUCAGGAAUGUUGAAAACAAUCAUUUUACAGGCUGGAUACCGGAACAGCUGAAUGGCAUAACCCUACAGUGAGUAUUACCAUUAUCUGCAAUUUUUCAAACUAAGAAUAUUUAUUUGUUUAUUUCAUUAUAUAAAUCUUGAAUGAUAAGCCAAGGUUUAAAAUGACAGAAAGGGUGGUAAUUCAUGGAGCUCGGGGCCUGCGCCCCCUCCGCCUCCUGGGACACCUCCAGCAACAACCAGCCGUCACCACAAAUCCGGUGGGCACGGCAGCUCAUCAGGUGGUAGCUCUAGUGAUGGGGGUAAAAAAUCUGGUAUUGGAGCCGGUGGCGUUGCUGGAAUAGUGAUCUCCAUAUUGGUUGUUGGGGCAAUAGUAGCAUUCUUCCUGGUGAAGAGAAGAUCCAAGAAGUUGUCGUCAUUAGACACGGAAAAGCUUGACAAUCAGCCGUUGGCUCCUCUAGCUUCAAAUGAAGUGCACGGUUUGUAUCUUGGUUCUCGCAUACUAUUGAAAAUCCUUUCUUACCUUUUUCCUUUAUGAUUAACUUUAUGCUACUUAUUUCUCAUUUUAAAUAGUUUCACAUUUCAUUCUCUUCUUGAAAUGUGUUUGAUAUAGACCUUACUUUAUAUGCUUAAUUUUACUUGUGGAUUGUGAUAAGUUAGUUAUCUGAAGUAACAUAUUACAACAUUUCAUAAUGCAGGAUUGAAUUCUAUGCAGAGUUCCUCUGUGAUUGACUUGAAAACAUUUGACACUCCUGUGGAACCAAUAAAUGUUAAACCCCCUAUUAAACCCCCACCUCUCAAAUCAUUCGACGAGGAAGAAAUUCCAAAGAAGCCAACUGCUGUCAAGAAGACUGUCGCCGCUCCCGCAAAUGUGAAAGCAUAUUCUAUAGCUGACCUGCAGAUUGCUACUUCAAGCUUCAGUGUGGAUCAACUCCUUG